CCUACGGGUGGCAGCAGUAGGGAAUAUUGCUCAAUGGGGGAAACCCUGACGCAGCAACGCCGCGUGGAGGAUGAAGGUUUUCGGAUUGUAAACUCCUUUUGUUAGAGAAGAUGAUGACGGUAUCUAACGAAUAAGCACCGGCUAACUCCGUGCCAGCAGCCGCGGUAAUACGAAGGGUGCAAGCGUUACUCGGAAUCACUGGGCGUAAAGAGAGCGUAGGCGGGAUUGCAAGUCAGAUGUGAAAUCCUAUGGCUUAACCCAGGAACUGCAAUUGAAACUGUGAAUCUAGAGUAGUGGAGAGGUAGGUGGAAUUCUUGGUGUAGAGGUGAAAUCCGUAGAGA
RNAcentral lists this ribosomal RNA (341 nucleotides) under uncultured bacterium. RNAcentral describes it as "partial 16S ribosomal RNA". It matches the Rfam family "Bacterial small subunit ribosomal RNA", at positions 338 to 696 of the family's 1533-position model. The record is from RNAcentral.